AACAAGGUUUCCGUAGGUGAACCUGCGGAAGGAUCAUUAAA
This 41-nucleotide ribosomal RNA is filed under the name Otidea leporina. Its description in RNAcentral is "partial 18S ribosomal RNA". The record is from RNAcentral. Lineage: Eukaryota; Fungi; Ascomycota; Pezizomycetes; Pezizales; Pyronemataceae.